CAAUUGGCAUUUCAGCAAGGAGUUGCUGGAUCCACUCACUGCUGAGCACCGGGAGCUCAGGAGGGCCCUCGGAAAUGUGGUGGCAAAAGCCCUGAGGGACAACGGGAGCUUCCUGCAAGUGGUGAUAAGAGGAUUCCUGCCUGGCUCCCUGCUGUGUCAUGGGGAUGCAGUGUUCCAGCUCCCUGCUCCCAGCAGCCUGGA
This is a long non-coding RNA of Centrocercus urophasianus (Greater sage-grouse), 201 nucleotides long. RefSeq lists it as uncharacterized. The record is from RefSeq and is a predicted model, not a curated record. The transcript is spliced from 3 exons. Lineage: Eukaryota; Metazoa; Chordata; Aves; Galliformes; Phasianidae.